GACUAACGCUGGCGGCGUGCCUAACACAUGCAAGUCGAACGAUUCUUUGAUUUAUAGCAAUAUUUAUUAAAGAGGAGUGGCGAACGGGUGAGUAACACGUAGAUAAUCUGCCUUUCAGACGGGGACAACUCAGGGAAACUUGUGCUAAUACCCGAUGAGACCACAAGAAGGGAUUUUUGUGGCCAAAGGCGGGCAGCAAUGCUCGUGCUGAAAGAUGAGUCUGCGUCCUAUCAGCUAGUUGGUGGGGUAAAUGCCUACCAAGGCUAAGACGGGUAGCCGGCCUGAGAGGGUGAACGGCCACACUGGGACUGAGACACGGCCCAGACUCCUACGGGAGGCAGCAGUGAGGAAUUUUCCGCAAUGGGCGCAAGCCUGACGGAGCGACGCCGCGUGAGGGAUGACAGCUUUUCGGGUUGUAAACCUCUUUUAUUAAGGAAAAAGAUCUAUAUGCUAAUAUCAUGUAGAUUUGAUGGUACUUAUUGAAUAACCCGGCUAACUACG
This 501-nucleotide ribosomal RNA is filed under the name uncultured bacterium. RNAcentral describes it as "bacterial SSU rRNA". It matches the Rfam family "Bacterial small subunit ribosomal RNA", at positions 28 to 505 of the family's 1533-position model. The record is from RNAcentral.